GAUGAACGCUGGCGGCGUGCCUAAUACAUGCAAGUCGAGCGAACGGACGAGAAGCUUGCUUUUCUGAUGUUAGCGGCGGACGGGUGAGUAACACGUGGAUAACCUACCUAUAAGACUGGGAUAACUUCGGGAAACCGGAGCUAAUACCGGAUAAUAUUUUGAACCGCAUGGUUCAAAAGUGAAAGACGGUCUUGCUGCCACUUAUAGAUGGAUCCGCGCUGCAUUAGCUAGUUGGUAAGGUAACGGCUUACCAAGGCAACGAUGCAUAGCCGACCUGAGAGGGUGAUCGGCCACACUGGAACUGAGACACGGUCCAGACUCCUACGGGAGGCAGCAGUAGGGAAUCUUCCGCAAUGGGCGAAAGCCUGACGGAGCAACGCCGCGUGAGUGAUGAAGGUCUUCGGAUCGUAAAACUCUGUUAUUAGGGAAGAACAUAUGUGUAAGUAACUGUGCACAUCUUGACGGUACCUAAUCAGAAAGCCACGGCUAACUACGUGCCAGCAGCCGCGGUAAUACGUAGGUGGCAAGCGUUAUCCGGAAUUAUUGGGCGUAAAGCGCGCGUAGGCGGUUUUUUAAGUCUGAUGUGAAAGCCCACGGCUCAACCGUGGAGGGUCAUUGGAAACUGGAAAACUUGAGUGCAGAAGAGGAAAGUGGAAUUCCAUGUGUAGCGGUGAAAUGCGCAGAGAUGUGGAGGAACACCAGUGGCGAAGGCGACUUUCUGGUCUGUAACUGACGCUGAUGUGCGAAAGCGUGGGGAUCAAACAGGAUUAGAUACCCUGGUAGUCCACGCCGUAAACGAUGAGUGCUAAGUGUUAGGGGGUUUCCGCCCCUUAGUGCUGCAGCUAACGCAUUAAGCACUCCGCCUGGGGAGUACGACCGCAAGGUUGAAACUCAAAGGAAUUGACGGGGGCCCGCACAAGCGGUGGAGCAUGUGGUUUAAUUCGAAGCAACGCGAAGAACCUUACCAAAUCUUGACAUCCUUUGACAACUCUAGAGAUAGAGCCUUCCCCUUCGGGGGACAAAGUGACAGGUGGUGCAUGGUUGUCGUCAGCUCGUGUCGUGAGAUGUUGGGUUAAGUCCCGCAACGAGCGCAACCCUUAAGCUUAGUUGCCAUCAUUAAGUUGGGCACUCUAAGUUGACUGCCGGUGACAAACCGGAGGAAGGUGGGGAUGACGUCAAAUCAUCAUGCCCCUUAUGAUUUGGGCUACACACGUGCUACAAUGGACAAUACAAAGGGCAGCGAAACCGCGAGGUCAAGCAAAUCCCAUAAAGUUGUUCUCAGUUCGGAUUGUAGUCUGCAACUCGACUACAUGAAGCUGGAAUCGCUAGUAAUCGUAGAUCAGCAUGCUACGGUGAAUACGUUCCCGGGUCU
This 1372-nucleotide ribosomal RNA is filed under the name uncultured bacterium. RNAcentral's name for it is "bacterial SSU rRNA". It matches the Rfam family "Bacterial small subunit ribosomal RNA", at positions 28 to 1381 of the family's 1533-position model. The record is from RNAcentral.